Molecule: non-coding RNA, 89 nt
Filed under: Thalassomonas actiniarum
Lineage: Bacteria; Pseudomonadati; Pseudomonadota; Gammaproteobacteria; Alteromonadales; Colwelliaceae
Description: c-di-GMP sequence
Rfam family: c-di-GMP-I riboswitch aptamer
About the family: GEMM was predicted in a large-scale screen for bacterial structured RNA regulatory elements. Genes associated with GEMM are involved in a diverse array of functions, including chemotaxis regulation, signal transduction, secretion and chitin.
Source: Rfam by way of RNAcentral
ACAAAGAAAAGGCAAAACACGCGAAAACGUGUGACGCAAAACCACCGGUCUAAGGGUUAGCAAUAACCUAUGACAGCGGAGUCACCUCG